Long non-coding RNA from Cimex lectularius (bed bug), 689 nucleotides. RefSeq lists it as uncharacterized. Lineage: Eukaryota; Metazoa; Arthropoda; Insecta; Hemiptera; Cimicidae. The transcript has 6 exons. The record is from RefSeq and is a predicted model, not a curated record.
AUUAUUAAUAUCAGUAACUAUGGGAACUUAGUAGUAACUUAGCUUCAGAUACAAAAAAACACGAACAAUCUUAACAAAGUUUGUAUUAUGAAAUAACAGAUUGGCUGAACGUCCCUGCUCACCGAGAGCCAAAUGGUCUCUCAGUACUGCAAUUCUUGGAGGAUAUCAUGGGAGGCCAUGUGUUCCCAACACACUAAGGGGAGACCCAAGAGGAAGAGGUGAAGGGCGCUUGGGAGAUGACGAUAUAGUCGACCCUGCAUUAAGGCCAGCCAUUACGUCCAACUUGACAAGAUUCUAUCCAAAUGGCGUCAACUCCGUUUCCCUCAACGAUGAACAAAACAAUAUCGGGGAGAUUGUGCCAAACGAGAAUGAAAGAGGACCGUUUCCAAUACAAGUUGUAAGAGAUGAAUCAAAUGGACAAUAUAGACACAAUGCAUAUGAAAAUCGUAAUGAUCAAAAUGAACGACAGCGUAAUGUUUUUCAAGAAGAAUACUUAGGUGAUGAACAUAUGACUCCACAAAACAUGGAUUUGGGAAGUCUUCCAACAGUAUUAAACAUAUGUGGACUCGUUGUUAUUGGGACACUAAUAGUACUGAAUAUGGUGAAUGGACAAAUUUGAAUUAUUACGAUAUGGACUACAAACUUGAAUAAUAAUAUACAUUUUCUAAAUGAAUGACUGUUUAUUUACA